AGAGGGGCAUAUAAAGCUUUAAAAUGUUAUUGGUAGUUAUCAAGUUUUAAAGUUAUAGGGUCAGGUACUCGCAAGUUAUCUAUUUAUAAAGUAAUAUUGUAUACUUAUUUCUUGUCUCAGAGUUUGAAGUAUUUUGUUACAUGGAAGUGUGUGAAGUGCACAAGGUGACCAUCAGGGUUUUAGGCAAGAAGAGGAGACAAAAUACCUUGGAUUAUGUACUCUUCUACUAUUUGGGGAAGUACAUUUUGUGAUGAAGCAAAGUUUCAGUCAUGGAUGCACAUUUUAGAAAGUGCUACAAAAGAUACUCCUUUAUCAAUUCAUUCUGCAGCAAGGAAGUGUAUCACGGCCAUCUCCUGAGUAAUCGAUAUUAUAUGGGGGCUGAUGAGAUUUAGGAGAUCUAGUACAAAGGUGUGUAGAGUGUGGGGGAGAAUGGAAUGUUACCACCAAGAAUAGAGGGAAUGAGCUGAGAAAUGCCUCUCUUUUUUUUUUUCCCAUCAACAAUUGCCCAAUUUUGGAAUAACAUUCAAAAAUAGACAAACCCCAAUUAGUAAGUAAUAUGUUCAACAAAAAAGAAGAAGGCAAUGAAGCCAUAUUACAAUUGUUUUCUUUGGGCCAUUCAAUUCUAAUUCACAUAUAGAGGCUUAAAUGUUUCAUGGGCAUGGGAGAGUGCAAUGUAUGAGAAGAGAGUGCAAAGUAUGAGAAGCGACCACCAGUAGAUAUGCAGAUGUUACAAAUACUUUGGCUUCAUUUAUUGGUUUAAGUAACCAUCACAAUCCCUUUGGAACUAAAAUCAAGAUAUGCUUGUGAUUUUUAUUUUGAGUAUUGGACACAGACACAAUCCCUUUUGUUUGUUUGAUUUUCAAAUCCAUACUUUUUGUUGUUUCUUUGCAUAAAGUCUUUGAUAGCUCUGUUUUGUUGUAGGAAUUGGAAUUAUUCUUUUUGGGUUAUUUUUAUGCUCCUCAUCUUGUAUAGGAGUUGAAUAAGUUGCUGCUUUUUGUUGAUUCUAAUGUUUGUAAGUGGGUUUUCAACAUAUAAUACAUAGUAGUGAAGUCCACUGUAGGAAUUGAAAUUCUUUUGUUUCUAUAUGGUCUGUAUAGCAAGGAUUCUGAACUGCCUAGGAAUUCAAAUGCCUAUACUAUUUCCUGAGUUCGUGGCUUCAGCCUUCCUGCACAUUCAGCAACUUAUUUUCCAAGUACAUGAACCAAAUAAGCUUUGGGUUCUGGUAGACUGGUACUGCAUAUCUCAUCUCAACAGUCUAAGCCUAUUGGAGAAGAGUUGUCUAUACUGUUGAAAAUUGUUGGGCAAGGAUGCACCUCAAAAUGGAAUGCACUGAACCUCUUUCAUCAACAGGUUCGUCUUGGUUUGCCAUCCAAACAACUGUGGGAGUUGAGGACUUGUUUAACCAUAUGGAAAAGCAAAAGGCAUUAUCUCCAACAGGGAAACCCUGGCAGAGAAUUCACCAUUUGCUGAAACCAAUUUGUCAGUUGGUUUCUCAACUGAUAGAGAUGUGCCUCUAAGAAUGUCUAGUGUACUAGAUGAAGAUGGAGGAAGAGUUGUAGCAGACAUAGAACAAGGAAGAAAAUUGAGAUAUCCAUAAGAAAUGCAAGAGGUAUUGCACGAUUGAGAUCUUUCUACUUGUUAAAUAUUCUUCAUUAUAUAUAAUUGAAGAAGGAAAUGUUCUGCCCA
Molecule: long non-coding RNA, 1686 nt
Organism: Quercus lobata
Lineage: Eukaryota; Viridiplantae; Streptophyta; Magnoliopsida; Fagales; Fagaceae
Exons: 6
Source: RefSeq, a predicted model, not a curated record